GUUAGGAAUAUUCGUCAAUGGGGGAAACCCUGAACGAGCAAUGCCGCGUGAGUGAUGACGGUCUUUAUGAUUGUAAAACUCUGUUGUAUGGGAAGAACACUAGAUAUAGGAAAUGAUAUCUAGCUGACGGUACCAUGCCAGAAAGCCCCGGCUAACUACGUGCCAGCAGCCGCGGUAAUACGUAGGGGGCGAGCGUUAUCCGGAUUUAUUGGGCGUAAAGCGUGUGUAGGGGGUUUAUUAAGUAUAAGAUUAAAGCCUGGGGCUUAACUCCAGUUCGUAUUAGAAACUGGUAGACAUGAGUGAGGUAGAGGCAAAUGGAAUUUCUAGUGUAGCGGUAAAAUGCGUAGAUAUUAGAAGGAACACCGGUGGCGAAGGCGAUUUGCUGGGCCAUUACUGACGCUGAGACACGAAAGCGUGGGGAGCGAAUAGGAUUAGAAACCCUUGUAGUCC
RNAcentral lists this ribosomal RNA (450 nucleotides) under uncultured bacterium. Its description in RNAcentral is "partial 16S ribosomal RNA". It matches the Rfam family "Bacterial small subunit ribosomal RNA", at positions 354 to 796 of the family's 1533-position model. The record is from RNAcentral.